GAUGAACGCUAGCUACAGGCUUAACACAUGCAAGUCGAGGGGCAGCAUUUUAGUUUGCUUGCAAACUAAAGAUGGCGACCGGCGCACGGGUGAGUAACACGUAUCCAACCUGCCGAUAACUCGGGGAUAGCCUUUCGAAAGAAAGAUUAAUAUCCGAUGGUAUAUUAAAACCGCAUGGUUUUACUAUUAAAGAAUUUCGGUUAUCGAUGGGGAUGCGUUCCAUUAGUUUGUUGGCGGGGUAACGGCCCACCAAGACUACGAUGGAUAGGGGUUCUGAGAGGAAGGUCCCCCACAUUGGAACUGAGACACGGUCCAAACUCCUACGGGAGGCAGCAGUGAGGAAUAUUGGUCAAUGGACGAGAGUCUGAACCAGCCAAGUAGCGUGAAGGAUGACUGCCCUAUGGGUUGUAAACUUCUUUUAUAUGGGAAUAAAGUAUUCCACGUGUGGGAUUUUGUAUGUACCAUAUGAAUAAGGAUCGGCUAACUCCGUGCCAGCAGCCGCGGUAAUACGGAGGAUCCGAGCGUUAUCCGGAUUUAUUGGGUUUAAAGGGAGCGUAGGUGGAUUGUUAAGUCAGUUGUGAAAGUUUGCGGCUCAACCGUAAAAUUGCAGUUGAAACUGGCAGUCUUGAGUACAGUAGAGGUGGGCGGAAUUCGUGGUGUAGCGGUGAAAUGCUUAGAUAUCACGAAGAACUCCGAUUGCGAAGGCAGCUCACUAGACUGCAACUGACACUGAUGCUCGAAAGUGUGGGUAUCAAACAGGAUUAGAUACCCUGGUAGUCCACACAGUAAACGAUGAAUACUCGCUGUUUGCGAUAUACAGUAAGCGGCCAAGCGAAAGCAUUAAGUAUUCCACCUGGGGAGUACGCCGGCAACGGUGAAACUCAAAGGAAUUGACGGGGGCCCGCACAAGCGGAGGAACAUGUGGUUUAAUUCGAUGAUACGCGAGGAACCUUAUCCGGGCUUAAAUUGCAUUUGAAUAAUCUGGAAACAGGUUAGCCGCAAGGCAAAUGUGAAGGUGCUGCAUGGUUGUCGUCAGCUCGUGCCGUGAGGUGUCGGCUUAAGUGCCAUAACGAGCGCAACCCUUAUCUUUAGUUACUAACAGGUCAUGCUGAGGACUCUAGAGAGACUGCCGUCGUAAGAUGUGAGGAAGGUGGGGAUGACGUCAAAUCAGCACGGCCCUUACGUCCGGGGCUACACACGUGUUACAAUGGGGGGUACAGAAGGCAGCUACCUGGCGACAGGAUGCUAAUCCCAAAAACCUCUCUCAGUUCGGAUCGAAGUCUGCAACCCGACUUCGUGAAGCUGGAUUCGCUAGUAAUCGCGCAUCAGCCAUGGCGCGGUGAAUACGUUCCCGGGCCU
RNAcentral lists this ribosomal RNA (1359 nucleotides) under uncultured bacterium. RNAcentral describes it as "bacterial SSU rRNA". It matches the Rfam family "Bacterial small subunit ribosomal RNA", at positions 28 to 1381 of the family's 1533-position model. The record is from RNAcentral.